Long non-coding RNA from Scylla paramamosain (green mud crab), 841 nucleotides. RefSeq lists it as uncharacterized. The record is from RefSeq and is a predicted model, not a curated record. Lineage: Eukaryota; Metazoa; Arthropoda; Malacostraca; Decapoda; Portunidae. The transcript is spliced from 2 exons.
CGACCUAAACAAGAUAACUGGUCUUCACACGCACUUGAGCUCGCUGUUUCUACUGGGCAGGGAGAGGCGGGAGCAUAGUCACUUGGUACUGGAGCGGAAGGUAAUCAGGUCGCAUUGGCCUCAGGUCAGAUGAUCCUCAAGGCAGAUCGGCCUGAGUGUAAAUAAGCCGCAGGACGUUUGGUUCUCGAAACACUUGGUACUCAAACCACUUGGUCUCUAAAAUGUCUCAGAGUGAUUGGUAAUUAGGGAAAAGUGUACCAAGUGGGAGUCAAACGGUUAAACAUCAAUUAUACAGCUUUGUGACUCGUCUCUGAUCGCCGCCACACACACACACACAGACACACUCAGGCAGGUGAAGCGGGUGGAAGUGCAUUGUUAUUACCUCCAUGCGCCACGGUAUCCAUAGCGCCCCUCCAAGCCUUGCCCCUCCAAGCCUUGCCCCUAGACUCGGGUGUGUAGGAGGAAGAGGAGGAGGAGGGGCAAGGAGGAGUAUGGGUACCAUUCGCCCCAGUACCAAGUGACUGCAAACCAAGAGAGCCGGGGUUGGUGGCGCGGCCCUGUAAUCCGGCGACGCGGAGGCUUGGCCCAGUGGACGGCUUGAGGCGAGGGUGGCUGCUGCGGGACUCCCCAUGUUGAGUGGGCGUCCGCACUAAGCUCGGCAUCAAUAUGGCCGCCCCUGGGGAGCCGGGGGCGUCCAGGUUGCCUAAGGAGGUGUGAACCAGGCCAGGGGGGAAACCCAGCAGCCAAAAGCACCCGUGUGGAGCAGCAGUGGGAUCGCGCCCGUGAGUGGGCGGCGCGCAGUAGCCUUGCCAACACAGGCGAACCUGGUACUUUUAUUUUA